Molecule: ribosomal RNA, 548 nt
Filed under: Delftia sp. Mississippi MCAA5
Lineage: Bacteria; Pseudomonadati; Pseudomonadota; Betaproteobacteria; Burkholderiales; Comamonadaceae
Also listed under: 2 other names
Description: bacterial SSU rRNA
Rfam family: Bacterial small subunit ribosomal RNA
Source: RNAcentral
UGGGGAAUUUUGGACAAUGGGCGAAAGCCUGAUCCAGCAAUGCCGCGUGCAGGAUGAAGGCCUUCGGGUUGUAAACUGCUUUUGUACGGAACGAAAAAGCUUCUCCUAAUACGAGAGGCCCAUGACGGUACCGUAAGAAUAAGCACCGGCUAACUACGUGCCAGCAGCCGCGGUAAUACGUAGGGUGCGAGCGUUAAUCGGAAUUACUGGGCGUAAAGCGUGCGCAGGCGGUUAUGUAAGACAGAUGUGAAAUCCCCGGGCUCAACCUGGGAACUGCAUUUGUGACUGCAUGGCUAGAGUACGGUAGAGGGGGAUGGAAUUCCGCGUGUAGCAGUGAAAUGCGUAGAUAUGCGGAGGAACACCGAUGGCGAAGGCAAUCCCCUGGACCUGUACUGACGCUCAUGCACGAAAGCGUGGGGAGCAAACAGGAUUAGAUACCCUGGUAGUCCACGCCCUAAACGAUGUCAACUGGUUGUUGGGAAUUAGUUUUCUCAGUAACGAAGCUAACGCGUGAAGUUGACCGCCUGGGGAGUACGGCCGCAAGGUUG